UGCCAGCAGCCGCGGUAAUACGGAGGGUGCGAGCGUUAAUCGGAAUUACUGGGCGUAAAGGGUCCGUAGGCGGUGGGGCAUGUCGGUUGUGAAAUCUCCCGGCUUAACUGGGAGGGUGCGACCGAAACUGCUCCGCUGGAGGGCCGGAGAGGCGAGUGGAAUUGCUGGUGUAGCGGUGAAAUGCGUAGAGAUCAGCAGGAACACCGGAGGCGAAGGCGGCUCGCUGGACGGCACCUGACGCUGAGGGACGAAAGCUAGGGGAGCAAACAGGAUUAGAUA
Molecule: ribosomal RNA, 279 nt
Filed under: uncultured bacterium
Lineage: Bacteria
Description: partial 16S ribosomal RNA
Rfam family: Bacterial small subunit ribosomal RNA
Source: RNAcentral